Molecule: RNA transcript, 4775 nt
Organism: Coffea arabica (coffee)
Lineage: Eukaryota; Viridiplantae; Streptophyta; Magnoliopsida; Gentianales; Rubiaceae
Gene name: histone-lysine N-methyltransferase ATX4-like
Source: RefSeq, a predicted model, not a curated record
CAAGCCAUGUUUGCUACUGCACCAGAAUUUGGUCUCACUCCCACCCCAACGUGGCACUUCAGUCGCAACAUACCACAAUUUUUGUCAGACUAUAAAUGAGCUCAUCAGCCAGUCAGCCCCUCCCUCCUUCGAUCAGCACCAACUCCAGGCCCAAAUCCGUCAUCCUCAUUCCUCGCGCAUAUUCUUUUCUUUUCUUUUUCUGUUUUUUUUCCCCUUUUCAAUCUCCCGCACCCGCAGCAGACUCAUAGUAGGUGCAUUAACAUACACAAAAUCUCUCUCUCUCUCUCUACAUAUAUAUAUAUAUAUAUAUCACCCCUUGCUUUCACGAGAAAAUCUUUCCAAAAAGAAAAGGAAAAUUAAAAUAUUGCAUCAUUAUUUCAAUUCGAGUAUACCAAGGCUACCUACACUUCCAUUCGCGACAAUUUAUACAUAGUAUUUGUGUGUUUUUUUCGGUCUCUCCUUCUCUCACAUGAGUAGUUGCUUGUUGUAGAGAGAGAGAGAAAGAAAGAAAGCUGCGCGGAACAGAGAUCCCCUAUUCAGACACACCAAACCUCUCUGCAAUUGCGACGUCUCCCUCUAUUCUUCUAUUAAUUCGAAGCCGAUAUUUUCACCCAGUUUCGAUUCUUUAAUUCGAUUGCUCGUAUUAUUCUAUUUGCUAUUUUUUCCCCGAGGGAAAUAAUUCAGUGUUUCUCGCUUGCGAGCCAAGUUUCUCUGCUAUAUCUAUAUGCAUAUUCCAGUAUUUAGGGUUCGAAGUAUGGAAAAUUAGGGCAUCCGAGGAUAGAUUGGGAGUUGGAAUUGGGGCCUGAACUGGUGAUUGAGGUAAUUGAGGAAGAUGAUAAUCAAGAGGAACUUGAAAUCGGUAAUGCCGACUUUGAAACGCUGCCGAGUCGCUGACUCGGGUGCAGAGGACGACGAAAGUUCUGGGAAUCGGAAGAAACGGAAACCUAAUAACGGCUACUAUCCUCUGCGUCUUCUCCGUGACGUUGCCGCAGGUGUAAUUCCUUUCAGUGGAUAUGGUAUCCAGAGUAUUCUAGCACAAGGGCGCGUUGCCGGAGUUGCUGCUGCGCCCACGGCCGCUUCCUGGUGUAAUGGAGGUUCGUUAUGCCCGGCUGAGGCGGAGUCAAAAUUGAAGGGUAUUGACAGCGGCGAUAGAAUAGUGCAGGAGGCUCCUCGCCCGCCCUUGGUGAGGACUUCAAGAGGGCGAGUUCAGGUUCUACCUUCUCGAUUUAAUGACUCAGUUCUUGAUAAUUGGCGGAAAGAGAAGAGUAAAACUAGUGCGAAGGAAUCGGCAUUGGAUCCUGAAUUCAAUCCCUAUAAAGAAAGAGCCAAUCUCAAAAACUCCAAGCUUCGUGGAGAUACUAAGGAUAAGGUUAACUACCGAUGUCGUGAGGUUCCUCCAUAUCUGGGGGAUGAAACGGAAGAAUUGGGGUCUCAAAGGUCCAAGAGAUACGGUGUUAGGAAGUAUUCUAGCUCGCGGAGUACAUUAACUUCUUUGCAUGAGCAACAAGCAGAGAUCGAGGAGGAUGGAGAAUUAGAAGAGUGUAUAUAUUUGAGUGGCAUUAAUGAAUACGUUAAGGAGGAGGUGGAAAAGAAACGCAGGAUAUAUGGUCCCAAUGACUUUGUUUCAGGUGAUAUAGUUUGGGCCAUAUCCGGGAGGCGUUGUCCUGCCUGGCCAGCUAUUGUCCUUGAUACGGACACACAAACUCCUCAACAAGUUCUGAAUUUCCGUGUUGCUGGUGCAAUUUGCGUGAUGUUUUUUGGUUAUUCUGGUAAUGGGACGCAAAGGGAUUAUGCAUGGGUUAAACGAGGGAUGAUAUUUCCUUUUGUAGACUAUGUAGAUAGUUUUCAGGGACAGACAGAGUUGAAUGAUGGAAAGCCCAGUGAUCUGCGUACUGCCAUAGAGGAGGCAUUUCUGGCUGAAAAUGGAUUUAACGAGAUGUUGAUGGUUGAAAUCAACGCAGCAGCGGGCAAUUUAGAAUAUCUCCAGUCUCUGACGAGAGGGGUAUAUGAGGCAUCUGAUUCAAACCAGGAUCAGGAGUGUAAUUCAUUGAAUAAGGAGCGGCUCAGAAAGAAAGGGAUAGAAUCCUGUGAGGCCUGUGGCUUGAGUAUGUCUCCUAAAAUGCCAAAGAAACUGAAUGAUUCAAAUCUUGGAAGCAGUCGUCUGUGUCCUUCUUGCGCUCGGUUAAAGAAAAUGAAGCAUUACUGUGCCAUAUGCAAGAAGAUUUGGAAUCAGUCAGAUAGUGGUACUUGGGUACGUUGUGAUGGCUGUAAAGUUUGGGUGCAUGCCGAGUGUGACAAAAUUUCAAACAGUAGUUAUAAGGAUCUGGGAACCACCGAAUAUUAUUGUCCUGAAUGCAAAGCAAGGUUUAAUUUUGAAUUAUCUGAUUCCGAAAAUCUGGUCUCUAAAACCAAACAUAACAAGAAGAAUGGUCUGCCGGAUAAAGUCAAUGUUGUCUGCUCUGGGGUGGAAGGCAUCUAUUUUCCUAGCCUUCACUUAGUUGUUUGCAAGUGUGGCUCUUGUGGAACUGAGAAGCAGGCACUAAGUGAGUGGGAACGACAUACAGGUUGCAAAACUAAAAACUGGAAGACUAGCAUCAGGGUGAAAGGGUCCAUGAUACCACUCGAGCAAUGGAUGCUGAAGGUAGCUGAGUAUCAUUCACGCAAUGUGGUUCCUGGAAAAUCUCUUAAACGCCCUUCCAUUAAAGUCAGGAGACAGAAAUUGCUUGCUUUUCUUCAAGAGAAAUAUGAACCUGUUUAUGCGAAGUGGACGACAGAAAGGUGUGCAGUAUGCCGAUGGGUUGAAGAUUGGGAUUACAACAAAAUCAUCAUAUGCAACAGAUGUCAAAUAGCUGUUCAUCAAGAAUGCUAUGGUGCAAGAAAUGUUCAGGAUUUCACUUCAUGGGUCUGUAGAUCCUGUGAGACACCUGAUGUUGAGCGGGACUGCUGCCUCUGCCCUGUCAAAGGUGGUGCUAUGAAGCCUACUGAUAUUCCGCCUCUAUGGGUUCAUAUUACAUGUGCUUGGUUUCAACCGGAAGUUUGUUUUGCAAGUGAUGAAAAGAUGGAACCUGCCAUCGGCAUCCUUAGGAUUCCUUCAAAUUCUUUUGUCAAGAUCUGUGUAGUUUGCAAGCAAAUUCAUGGCUCCUGUACACAAUGUUCCAAGUGUUCCACUUAUUACCAUGCAACAUGUGCAUCAAGGGCUGGCUAUCGCAUGGAGUUGCAUUGCUUGGAGAAAAAUGGGAAACAGAUCACCAAAAUGGUUUCCUAUUGCGCUUACCACAGGGCUCCAAAUCCAGAUAAUGUUUUGAUUAUUCAGACUCCUAAAGGUACUUACUCUACAAAAGGUCUUCUCCAGAACAAGAAGAAUACCUGUUCUAGGUUAAUUUCAUCAAACAGAUUGAAACUUGAGGAAGCCCCAAGUACAGAGGUUACUGAUGUUGAGCCUCUCUCUGCUGCAAGAUGCCGGAUUUACAAGAGAUUGAAUAAUAAGGGCCAGAGAACGAGCGAAGAGGCUGUUUUCCACAGAGUAAUGGGACCUUGCCAUCACUCUCUAAAUGCAAUACAGAGCCUGAAUACCAUCAAAGAAAUAGAAGAGCCUAAGACCUUUUCUACUUUCCGCGAACGUCUUCGCCAUUUACAGAGAAUGGAAAUGGAACGUGUUUGUUUUGGUAGAUCUGGAAUCCAUGGAUGGGGCCUCUUUGCUCGUAGGAAUAUCCUAGAAGGAGAAAUGGUUCUUGAGUAUCGCGGAGAGCAGGUCAGGCGCAGUAUUGCAGAUCUGAGGGAGGCCCAGUAUCGCAAUAAGGGCAAAGACUGCUAUCUUUUUAAGAUCAGUGAAGAAGUCGUAGUAGACGCCACGGAUAAGGGAAACAUUGCUCGGUUAAUUAACCAUUCAUGCAUGCCGAACUGCUAUGCAAGGAUCAUGAGCGUAGGUGAUGACGAGAGCCGGAUAGUGCUUAUUGCCAAGACAAAUGUCGCUGCUGGUGAUGAAUUAACGUAAACUCUCUCCCUCUCUCUCUCUCUCUCUCUCUCUCUGCGCUUGAUACAUUGUAGAGAGGAGAAGAAGCAGACUGACCAGCUAUGAAUUCUUUCUUUGGCCACAUUGUUGCAGGGGGCUGGUUUUCGUUGGAUGGAUAGGGGGAGGAGUUGUUGGGCAUUGGGAUUGGACCCCCCUGACAGACAGUAGAAGAGUAAUACUCCUAGUCAAGAAGAGAGGAGGGAGGGGUGUGGGCGUUGGGAGGAGACCCGUGCGUAGACGCAGCAAAUCCUCCUCCACCACGCUACUCUCACGCGUCACGCUUCCCUUGCCCGCCUUCUCUAUCCGGCUAUCCCUAUAAUACAGGAAUGAAUAAGGAUUACGACUCAGCAACGAGACAGGACUACAGAAUCAUUCAUUCGAGUCAGAGAGUUGCAACAACCUCCCUCCAACUUCUCGCCUCGCUCAUACUCAUAUUUCACGCGCGCGCACUACUACAGUCUACAGGUAGAGGUGCAGGUGAAAAAGACGACUUUGUAGUUUGGAUGGAUGGAUCAUUUGAUGAUGGCAAGUGAAUCCGUUUAAAACAUGUGAAGAAGUGUAUGUUGCGGCUAAUCCAAUCCGCUUUGGAAUUUUUGGUGUCCGUUCAUGGACAUAUGCAGCAGCAGCAGCAGUAUUGCUAGCUAGCACAUCGACACCGGCACUGGCUACUGCACCCAUCCAUCCAAGCUUCAUUUAUUUUUAUUUCCUUAUACUGCAGUUAGUAGCAAGCGAUUAUUCAACCAAAACCUCUCUCCCCCCCCCC